GACGUAGGGCGCGAGCGUUGUCCGGAUUUAUUGGGCGUAAAGAGCUCGUAGGCGGCUUGUUGCGUCGACCGUGAAAACCCGGGGCUCAACUUCGGGCUUGCGGUCGAUACGGGCGGGCUAGAGUUCGGUAGGGGAGACUGGAAUUCCUGGUGUAGCGGUGAAAUGCGCAGAUAUCAGGAGGAACACCAAUAGCGAAGGCAGCUCGCUGGGACGUUACUGACGCUGAGGCGCGAAAGCGUGGGGAGCGAACAGG
Molecule: ribosomal RNA, 253 nt
Filed under: uncultured bacterium
Lineage: Bacteria
Description: partial 16S ribosomal RNA
Rfam family: Bacterial small subunit ribosomal RNA
Source: RNAcentral